AGUGAACGCUGGCGGUAGGCCUAACACAUGCAAGUCGAACGGCAGCACAGUAAGAGCUUGCUCUUACGGGUGGCGAGUGGCGGACGGGUGAGGAAUACAUCGGAAUCUACUUUUUCGUGGGGGAUAACGUAGGGAAACUUACGCUAAUACCGCAUACGACCUACGGGUGAAAGCAGGGGAUCUUCGGACCUUGCGCGAUUGAAUGAGCCGAUGUCGGAUUAGCUAGUUGGCGGGGUAAAGGCCCACCAAGGCGACGAUCCGUAGCUGGUCUGAGAGGAUGAUCAGCCACACUGGAACUGAGACACGGUCCAGACUCCUACGGGAGGCAGCAGUGGGGAAUAUUGGACAAUGGGCGCAAGCCUGGUCCAGCCAUACCGCGUGGGUGAAGAAGGCCUUCGGGUUGUAAAGCCCUUUUGUCGGGAAAGAAAAGCAGCAGGUUAAUACCCCGCUGUUCUGACGGUACCCAAAGAAUAAGCACCGGCUAACUUCGUG
Molecule: ribosomal RNA, 492 nt
Filed under: uncultured bacterium
Lineage: Bacteria
Description: partial 16S ribosomal RNA
Rfam family: Bacterial small subunit ribosomal RNA
Source: RNAcentral